UGUAUGUUUGGGUGGCAUUCGAAUGGCCGAUGCGGGUUUAGGACUGUUUUUCGGCUUUUUGCCAAAGUGUUGGCGAGUUUUGCAAACUGGACGAUAACUUGGAUUCCGUAUGUCGGAAUCUAGUCCCAUAAGUUCAAACACGUGUCUAAUACCUACACGGUGCUAAGUAUGUGUUUGCGUGGCAUUUGGACGGCCGAUGCGGGUUUAGGGCUGUUUUUUG
Molecule: long non-coding RNA, 220 nt
Filed under: Panax ginseng (ginseng)
Lineage: Eukaryota; Viridiplantae; Streptophyta; Magnoliopsida; Apiales; Araliaceae
Description: long non-coding RNA (PGIN_LNC010794)
Source: RNAcentral